Molecule: long non-coding RNA, 426 nt
Organism: Dromaius novaehollandiae (emu)
Lineage: Eukaryota; Metazoa; Chordata; Aves; Casuariiformes; Dromaiidae
Exons: 3
Source: RefSeq, a predicted model, not a curated record
GUAAGUGGUGGAACUAGAAAAUGAAAUUGAAGAAAAUGAUGGCUCUUUAGUGAUUGCUGUGGUCUGACCAAAACUACUGUCAUCUUUGGAAUGUUUACUGGAAGCUUCAACAGCAAAUACCAAAGCUCAAAUGGAGAAGUGACUGGAUUCCCCUCGCCGUGAAGGUGAUUGCUGCAACAGCAGCUAAGACAGCGUACUGACUCAAAGAUGGAUGUGAGCAUGCAGCUGCAGAUGUUAUCCGAGCUUAGAGAACAAUUCCUGCAUUCCGAGAUCUUGGAGCCAUCCAUCCAACAUAACGCAAAUGCCAUGCCUGCUAGAACAGCUUAUACCAGAACAGGCCCUGCAUUCUUCCUGAAUUUCUGAGAAAGAUUUCUGUCAAGGCGGACUCUCACUUAUCUGGAGAUGUUCAUGAGCUGUAUUUAGAGG